RNAcentral lists this ribosomal RNA (447 nucleotides) under uncultured bacterium. Its description in RNAcentral is "bacterial SSU rRNA". It matches the Rfam family "Bacterial small subunit ribosomal RNA", at positions 355 to 825 of the family's 1533-position model. The record is from RNAcentral.
UCGGGAAUUUUGGGCAAUGGGCGAAAGCCUGACCCAGCAACGCCGCGUGAGUGACGAAGGCCUUAGGGUUGUAAAACUCUUUCGUCGGGGACGAUAAUGACGGUACCCGAAGAAGAAGCUCCGGCUAACUUCGUGCCAGCAGCCGCGGUAAUACGAAGGGAGCUAGCGUUGUUCGGAAUCACUGGGCGUAAAGCGCACGUAGGCGGAUAGUUAAGUUGGGGGUGAAAUCCCGAGGCUCAACCUCGGAACUGCCUUCAAAACUGGCGACCUGGACCUAAGUAGAGGCAAGUGGAAUUGCGAGUGUAGAGGUGAAAUUCGUAGAUAUUGGGAAGAACACCAGUGGCGAAGGCGGCUAACUGGUCCGGUACUGACGCUGAGGUGCGAAAGCGUGGGGAGCAAACAGGAUUAGAUACCCGUGUAGUCCCUGAGCGGGCUGGCAAGGCGCAU